CUACGGGAGGCUGCAGUGAGGAAUAUUGCACAAUGGGGGGAACCCUGAUGCAGCAACGCCGCGUGGAGGAUGACGCAUUUCGGUGUGUAAACUCCUUUUAUAUGUCAAGAAAAUGAUGGUAGCAUAUGAAUAAGCACCGGCUAACUCCGUGCCAGCAGCCGCGGUAAUACGGAGGGUGCAAGCGUUACUCGGAAUCACUGGGCGUAAAGGACGCGUAGGCGGGUUGGAAAGUCAGGUGUGAAAUCCUACAGCUUAGCUGUAGAACUGCACUUGAAACUUCUAAUCUAGAGUAUGGGAGGGGGAGAUGGAAUUAGUGGUGUAGGGGUAAAAUCCGUAGAUAUCACUAGGAAUACCUAAAGCGAAGGCGAUCUCCUGGAACAUUACUGACGCUAAGGCGUGAAAGCGUGGGGAGCAAACAGGAUUAGAUACCCGCGUAGUC
RNAcentral lists this ribosomal RNA (439 nucleotides) under uncultured bacterium. Its description in RNAcentral is "partial 16S ribosomal RNA". It matches the Rfam family "Bacterial small subunit ribosomal RNA", at positions 339 to 795 of the family's 1533-position model. The record is from RNAcentral.